RNAcentral lists this ribosomal RNA (460 nucleotides) under uncultured bacterium. RNAcentral describes it as "partial 16S ribosomal RNA". It matches the Rfam family "Bacterial small subunit ribosomal RNA", at positions 338 to 795 of the family's 1533-position model. The record is from RNAcentral.
CCUACGGGAGGCUGCAGUGAGGAAUAUUGGUCAAUGGGCUUACGCCUGAACCAGCCAAGUCGCGUGAGGGAAGACUGCCCUAUGGGUUGUAAACCUCUUUUGUCAGGGAGCAACGCCGGCUACGUGUAUCCUGACUGAUAGUACGUAAAUAAAAAGCAUCGGAGAACUCCGUGCCAGCAGCCGCGGUAAUACGGGGGAUGCGAGCGUUAUCCGUAUUUAUUGGGGGUAAAGGGUGCAUAGGCGGAAUGCCAAGUCAGCGGUAAAAUCGCGGGGCUAAACCUAGCUGCGCCGUUGAAACUGGCGUUCUUGAGUGGGCGAGAAGUAUGCGGAAUGCGUGGUGUAGCGGUGAAAUGCAUAGAGAUCACGCAGAACUCCGAUUGCGAAGGCAGCAUACCGGCGCCCAACUGACGCUGAAGCACGAAAGCGUGGGUAUCGAACAGGAUUAGAUACCCCAGUAGUC